UACGGAGGAUCCGAGCGUUGUCCGGAUUUAUUGGGCGUAAAGCGAGCGCAGGUGGUUUAUUAAGUCUGGUGUAAAAGGCAGUGGCUCAACCAUUGUAUGCAUUGGAAACUGGUAGACUUGAGUGCAGGAGAGGAGAGUGGAAUUCCAUGUGUAGUGGUGAAAUGCGUAGAUAUAUGGAAGAACACCAGUGGCGAAAGCGGCUCUCUGGUCUGUAACUGACGCUGAGGUUCGAAAGCGUGGGUAGCAAACAGG
RNAcentral lists this ribosomal RNA (252 nucleotides) under uncultured bacterium. RNAcentral describes it as "partial 16S ribosomal RNA". It matches the Rfam family "Bacterial small subunit ribosomal RNA", at positions 524 to 776 of the family's 1533-position model. The record is from RNAcentral.